This 8318-nucleotide long non-coding RNA is filed under the name Setaria viridis. RNAcentral describes it as "long non-coding RNA (SVIR_LNC004164)". Lineage: Eukaryota; Viridiplantae; Streptophyta; Magnoliopsida; Poales; Poaceae. The record is from RNAcentral.
AAUCUCCCCGGCGAUUUCGCCGUCCCGGCACCCAUGCCGACCCCCACCUAUCUUUCUAUCUGUGCCGUAAAUCUCGCCGCGUGCCGUCGUCAGACCACCGCGCGCGUGCUCCGACCGUGUGCCGCAUUUGCCGUCGGUCCCUCUCUUUUCCUUUCUCUUUUUCCCUCCCCAUUUUCUUUUCUUUUUUCUCCUUUCUUCCUCCUUCUUCUUCCUUCUUCCUCCUUCCUUCUUCUCUCUCCUUCUCUUCCUUCUUCCUGGCGCCCGAACCACCGGCCCCAGUGCCAUUACUCCGGCGCCCCCUUCCUGGCGCCAUACCGGCGGCCGAUCCGGUCCGCCGCUCGCCUGGGACCCGCCGCUCGGCGCGGUGCCGGCCACGCCAUCGCCUCCCCUCGGGCCGCGUGCCCGACCCGGCCCCGGUCGCGGCGUCGCCCGCCCGGCGUCGCCCGAGGAGGAGCCCGAGGAGGAGUUUGACCGCGAGCACGAGCCCGAGGACCAGUACCGCGAGCAGGAACUCUUGGAAGGCUUUGAAGACGGCAAGUCCAAUCUCACCCCUUGAUGCAUACUUAAUACCUAGUUUUUCAAACACAACCUGUUGGCCUGUUUUACAAAAUGCAUAUUAUUUCAUCACAAGACAUGGUUGGAUAGCCACCCCUUGAUUGUUACGAACAUUCCUUGCUAUCCUAGGUUUAUCUCUAAAUAUGACUUGCUCUGUUUAGAUGAUAACCACUGCUAGAACGCUUAGGAAUUUAUUACUCAACUGCAAUCAUUAUUACCAUGGUGUUUUCAGAAAAUGAACAUGUGUGUGUGUGUAAGUGAGAAAAAUGGCUUUUCGGGUUCAGGGGAAAAGGAUGUGUAGACAGGAUGGAUGGGUAUUCCUUGUGUGGGGUGCCAGUUUGUUGUGCUCGUACCUGGGUGGUUGAGAAAUGACGGGAGAUAUCCAUCUUGUCAUAUUUAAGGACCGAGUUGAUGUGUCAUCUUGCCUAAUUCCACCAUCGUGCAACCACUCGACCGUUGUAUGGGCAACGGCUUAGCAUAAAUCCCACUAGCUGAACUGUUAGUCCUUAGGGGUGCUGGUGAGCAACGGGAGCCCAUGGAAAAGGAGUAAGAUCUUGGUGACUUAGGUCCUGGUUAUGGUCUCGUGGACGAGCCGUGAACCCCUUGGGUGUUUCCUCGAGGGCUAGCCAGCCUUAGCUAAGGUGGGUAAUGGCUUUGUUAGGAUCCGUACCGUCACUAAGGUGAUCGCGAUAUGGUACCCUACUUGUGGGAAAAGUGUACACCCUCUGCAGAGUUAAAACCUAUCCGGGUAGCCGUGUCCACGGCAUUGGACGAGUUACGGCUUGGUCACAUAACUAGCAAUUGGGCAAGGAUGUCAUGUGUGGGUGUGUGUGUGUGUUGGAUUUUGGAAGAGUCCGACAGUUGUGCCGUGCGCUAUGGCGGACGGGGAGUCCGAUAGCGAUAAAAACUUGGAUCCUUUGUGUAGGAUCAACCCCACUCAAUGUUUCGGGUAUUAACGGAAACCUUUACAAAAACCCUUUCGAAAAUGAUCCCCUGCAUGUGUUAAAAUUUAGCUUUACCGCAAACAAACUAUAGCCUAUCCUUGUUGUACCUGUGCAUAAACUUGCUUGUAUCCCCCUCCGUGGAUGGGGUUGGACUUGCUGAGUACGUUUGUACUCACCCUUGCUUCGUUGCUACAGAGGAAGACCCGGAUUUCGUCGCCGAGGACCUUGAGUAGAGGUUGUGUCCGCACCCGACGCUGCCUGUGGUGUUGGCCUACCCAAGAUGCUGCUGCUGCCGUGUAGCCCCGAGUGCUGUCUUUUGGCAGUCGCUUGGUUAGCCGCCGUUAUUUAUUUACUGCUUAUCGCUGCGUGGCUUUCACGCCCACUCCCCCGGGAGUUGUACGGUAACUGAAUUAUCUGUCGAAUAAAUGUGCUAUCAGCCUCCUGGGACUAAUAUUUGUAUCACAUUUAGUCUCUACUUAUGUGGGGACGCUUCAGGUGGUAUCAGAGCUGUCGUUGGCUGUAGGACGCGACCCUAGGACCGGAUUAGCCCUUUUUGACCAAAAAAAAAAGAAUUACAAAAUUUCUGCCUACCUCUGCUCUAUUGUAAAACUAAUUUGUGCCCCAGAUCUUUUCCAGAUGGCCGAGGAAGGAUGGGUCAACAGCCACUGCCUGGAGGAGCCUGGUUUUCCCAGAUUGUUGUUCGCCUGCAUGGACCGCCUCGGGAUUUAUGAGCGUCCGGAGUACACAAGCAGGGAGUACGAGGACCGCGGGACCCCUCGGUGUGAGAUGAUUAUCUACAUCGGGCGGAGUAGCCGCUACCCGGACAUCCAGCCAUGGAAUGUGACUGCCACCGGCUUCCGGCACAAGGAUACUUAUCAAGUGGCAGCCCGGAAGGCCCUCCGUUUCCUGUGCCAGAUCUAUGAAAGGCACAUUGGCCGCACUCCGAUGAGGUUCUACCCGCCGGUCAAGAAAAACCGCCCGGUUUGGCUGGCCCGGGUACGGACCUUGGAAGGACGUGGACAGCGCGAGGAUGACCCCACUAUGCUGCACAUGGCUGCCUACCUUCUCACCUUGGACGAGCUCUACGAUGAGCAGGCUGCUAAGUUGAAGUAGCAGACCCGUAGGGCCGAGGACGCAGAAGUUAUGGUGAGGAGGCUUCAGGUGAAGUUAGCCGCCGCCGAAGCCCGAGCCGCAGCCGCUCAAAGCAAUGAGGCCAUUGCCGUUGAGGCUCUUAAGGAGGCCGAGGAUCGGCACUCCAAGGAACUGAAGGAUGCCCACCUCACCAUUCGUGCCAGAAGGAGGAUGGUGGCCAUCGAGGACGACGAGGCCCCGAUCCUUGAAGGGAUUCCCAUUGCCCCAGGGCCCAGUAAGCGGAAAAGCCCGGACGCCACCCCGGCACCACCACCUUCAAAAAGGAACUCCGAGGUGUCGGAUGGAGUGGUUCCCGAGACCCCUCCCACGGGGCGGGACUCUGAAGGAUGAGGUGCUGGCCCUUCUCCUUCCGAUAGAAGAUCACUCAGUCCAGGGAGAAGACUCGCCUCGCGAGUAGCAUGCCCAGCCAGGAUUGCCCAAGGAAUGAAGCCGUCAUGGUCCGCAGUUUAGAGUUGUACCCCUUCAGUUGUGUUGCUGUAACCGGUCGUGUAGUACGUGUUUUGGCUUUACCCCCAGCAGUGUUGUACCCCCCCCCCCCCCGUGGCAAAAUAAAUAAAAUCGCUUGUGUUUGUUGCUUGUUAGUCUGUGUGUUGUCGACAGGAGGUGGAUUCUGUCUCUUCGAAAAUACGAAUUUACCACUUUAAAGAUCACUAAAAUCCAAAUCACAGUCUCAUAAAGUCUCACUCAAUCUGCAGAUGCCGCCCAAGCGUGCCACCAGGACUUCCCCAAGUCAGGCCCAUGCCACCCCCAAUGCAGAGAGGCAGCCAGAAAGGCAAGAACCGCCUUCGGCAGCACUUCCUGAGGAGCAGGAAGUGAGCCAGCCAGAAGGAAGGGGAGAAAGUCAGUUGGGGACACAGCAGCCACCGCCCCCACCGGUUAUUGAUCUGGUUCAAGUAAUGAACAACCAGACCCUUCUGCUGGAAGCUCUAGCCAACGCCAUUACUCGCCAGAGGCCCCGCGGACAGAACAUGAAUGAAAGGUUAAUGGACUUCCUUCGGACCAAGCCACCCACUUUUGGCGGGUCUGUCAACCCUUUGGACGCAGAUGACUGGCUGCGCGUUAUCCAGAGGAAGCUGGAGCCAUUUGGUUGUGAGGGCAGGGACAAAGUUCUCUUGGCUGCCCACCAGCUCACUGGGACUGCCCUAGCUUGGUGGGAGAACUACUGCUCUGCCACACAGUAUGCCUCCACUAUCACCUGGGAUGAGUUCGUGACGGAAUUUCGUCGCUACCAUAUCCCCGCAGCCACCAUGAAGCACAAGGCGGAUGAGUUCCGUGAGCUCCGCCAGGGCAACAGAUCUGUGGAAGAGUAUACUUUCCAGUUCAUGGAGCUGGCCCGUUAUGCUCCAGAGGAGGUGGACAAGGAUGAGAAGAAGCAGGACAUGUUCAAGAAAGGCUUGAACGCGGAGCUGAGGACCCUGCUCACUCCCCAGAUCUACCCCGACUUCAACACCUUGAUGAACAUGGCCAUCUUAACUGAGAGGGCCAAGGCAGAAGAGCGGAGGGACAACAAGCGUCGGUUCCUGGAGAGCAAGGCACACCAGCAGGACCGAUUCCAAAAGCCAAGGAGCUUCGGUCACCCCUUGCCCAGAUCCCAAGCUCCCAUGCAUUAUCGGACCCAGUCCCAAGCAUCUGGCUCACAUCAGACUGCUGCCCCAUUCAGGAGCUAGAACCCUAUCAAGGCCCCACAGAGCAGCGCCAGCCAAGUCACUGGCAAUGGUAGGGCAUGCUUCAACUGCAGGGAGCCAGGACAUUUCAUCGCCAACUGCCCCUAUGCCAACAAGCCAGCAGCGUCAGCCCUAUCCAACUCAGUAGCGGGGCCCAGGGCCGCAUUGUCAGGAGCCAACCGUGUGCCAGUCCGCAGCAGCGGCAACCCCAGCAACAACAACAGCCAGCAGAUGAGGCCGCCCCAGCAAUCAUUCGGACAAGCCCGCGUCAACCACAUCGGCGCGCAGGAGGCUCGCGAAGCUCAGGGCGUGGUACUCGGUGAGUUUCUAGUCAGCUCAGUCUUGGCAACAGUACUUUUUGAUUCUGGAGCAUCACAUUCCUUCAUAUCCUCAAGUUUUGUGGAAGAACACCAUAUACCUACAGUACUACUAAGGUUACCCCUAUUAACCCGGACUUCUGGGGCCGACAUUCAGUGUCGACUAGGUUAUUCUCGGGUAAGGAUCAAUUUAAGUGGGGUAGAAUUUCUAGCGGAUCUAGUAGUACUUAAGUCUAAGGGGAUAGAUGUGAUUCUUGGAAUGGACUGGUUGAGCCUGCAUGACGGUCAUAUAGGGUGUGCUGAUAAGGUGGUACACCUGACCAAUUGGGAUGGAGUGCAAGUGACCUGUCACACUAGGGGAAGUGGCCCGGACCCCAUGGUGUUCAGCAUGGAGACCCCAAGACCUUAGAAGAAGUCCCGGUAGUGAGUGAAUACCCGGACGUCUUUCCUGAGGAACUACCUGGAAUGCCCCCUGACAGGGACAUAGAGUUCGUAAUUGACCUCAUCCCCGGAACCUCCCCUAUAGCCAAGAGACCCUAUAGAAUGGCAGCCUCAGAGUUAGCCGAGCUGAAGAAACAGUUGGGAGAGUUGCAACAGAGUGGCUUUAUCAGGCCUAGCUCAUCCCCGUGGGGAGCCCCCGUACUUUUUGUCAAGAAGAAAGAUGGGAGUAUGAGGAUGUGCGUGGAUUAUCGCGCACUAAAUGAAGUCACCAUUAAGAACAAAUACCCCCUCCCCAGAAUAGAUGACCUAUUCGACCAGCUGAAAGGAGCCAAGUAUUUCUCCAAGAUAGACCUGAGAUCAGGGUACCAUCAGCUCAAGAUCAAGGAGAGCGACAUCCCGAAGACAGCCUUUGUCACCUGUUAUGGUCAAUUUGAGUUUACAGUGAUGUCCUUUGGAUUGACCAAUGCACCUGCUUAUUUCAUGAACCUCAUGAAUAAGGUGUUUAUGGACGAGUUAGAUAAGUUUGUUGUAGUCUUUAUUGACGACAUACUUAUUUACUCCAAGAGUGUUCGGGAGCAUGAACAACACCUACGGGUGGUAUUGGAAAAAUUGAGAGCCCACCGACUCUAUGCUAAAUUCAGCAAGUGCAAAUUUUGGCUUGAGAAAGUGGCAUUCCUGGGUCAUAUCUUGACCACAGAAGGAGUAGCAGUUGAUCCUGAGAAGGUUGAAGCCGUUUCCAACUGGCAGCAACCCACUAAUGUUAGUGAAAUAAGGAGUUUCCUGGGUUUAGCUGGGUAUUAUCGGAGGUUUAUUGAGGGAUUCUCCAAGAUAGCCCGGCCCAUGAUAGAGUUGCUCAGAAAGGACAAGAAGUUCACCUGGACCGAGUCAUGUGAACGGAGUUUCCAAGAGCUGAAGAGGAGAUUGACGACAGCCCCGGUAUUAACCCUACCGGAUAUCCAGUGAGACUUUGUCAUCUACUGUGAUGCAUCCCGACAAGGAUUAGGAUGUGUCCUCAUGCAGGACGGGAAGGUUGUGGCAUAUGCUUCUCGACAACUUAAGCCCCAUGAGCAGAACUACCCAACCCAUGACUUAGAGUUUGCAGCCGUAGUGCAUGCCCUCAAGAUCUGGAGACAUUAUCUGAUUGGGAACAAAUGUGAAAUCUACACCGACCAUAAAAGCCUAAAGUACAUCUUUACCCAACCCGAUCUGAAUUUAAGGCAAAGGAGGUGGUUAGAGCUGGUAAAGGACUACAACCUAGAAAUCCAUUACCAUCCCGGCAAAGCUAAUGUUGUAGCUGAUGCCUUAAGCAGGAAGUCCUAUGGACAGCCCGGACCCGAUAAUGCCCGUCUACAAAAGGAAAUGGCCCGGCUAAAUGUGCAUAUCAUUCCCCAGAAUGCUAACCGCAGGCUAAGUGUCCGGCCCACCUUGGAGGAUAAAAUCCGAGAAGCUCAGGGUGCAGACCAAGACCUAGUAAAAAUCCGCAAACAAACCGGAGAAAAUAAAGCCCCGGAUUUCAGAGUAGAUGACAAGGGAACCUUGUGGUAUAAGGACAGAAUUUGUGUCCCCAAGGCCGGAGAAUUCCGGCAGACCAUCAUGGAUGAAGUCCAUAACUCAGCAUACUCCAUUCACCCCAGAUCCAUGAAGAUGUAUAUGGACCUAAAGCUGAAAUACUGGUGGAAUGGGAUGAAGGCAGACAUAGCUCAGUUUGUCGCCCGUUGUGAUACUUGCCAAAGGGUCAAGGCCGAGCACCAGAAGCCAGCCGGCUUGCUACAACCCUUGCCUAUCCCGGUUUGGAAGUGGGAUGAGAUCGGCAUGGAUUUUGUAGUAGGCUUGCCCAGAACUCAGAAGGGAAAUGACUCCAUAUGGGUAAUAGUGGACCGACUCACUAAAGUUGCUCACUAUCUACCCGUACGGACCACAUACGGUGGAGAAAAACUAGCUAGACUCUACGUCGACAACAUAGUGAAGCUGCAUGGUGUGCCCAGCCGGAUCGUCUCGGAUAGAGGAACUCAGUUCACCUCUAGGUUUUGGAGGAGCUUACAUAAAGCCAUGGGCACCAAACUGGAUUUUAGUUCAGCCUAUCACCCCCAGACCGAUGGCCAAACAGAGCGGGUGAAUCAAAUCAUGGAAGAUAUGUUGAGGGCGUGUGUCCUUACCUAUGGAAAGGAUUGGGAACAAAGUCUACCCUAUGCAGAGUUCUCAUACAACAAUAGUUACCAAGCCAGUCUAGGCAUGUCACCAUUUGAGGCUCUUUAUGGUAGAAAGUGUCGAACCCCUCUGAUGUGGUCAGAAGUCGGAGAACGCUCCUUAGUCGGACCAGCUUUCAUCAAGGAAGCAGAAGACCGUGUGGCAGAAAUCCGAGAGAAGCUGAAGGCUGCACAGUCCAGACAAAAGAGCUACUCGGACAAAAGAAGACGGGAAUUGUACUUCAAUGAGGGAGAUUUUGUCUAUCUCAAGGUAUCCCCGAUUCGGGGUACUCGAAGGUUUCAAGUGCAAGGAAAGCUAGCCCCUCGGUAUAUCGGACCAUACCAGGUGUUAAAGAGAGUUGGAGCCGUAGCAUACCGUAUCCAACUGCCCGAAGAAAUGUCGGAUAUACACCCGGUAUUUCAUGUCUCCCAGCUGAGGAAAUGCUUGAGAGUACCGGAGGAACAAGUACCGGUGGAAACAAUAGACCUGCAAAAGGACCUUCGGUAUCAAGAAGUGCCUGUCAAGAUUUUGGACACUGUCACCAGACGGACGAGGAAUACAACGGUCCGGAUCUGCAGAGUGCAAUGGAGUAGGCAUGGCGAAGAAGAGGCCACGUGGGAACGCGAGGACGCGUUAAAGAAGGAAUUCCCCCAUCUCUUCUGGACUCAGUCGAAUCUCGAGGACGAGAUUCAAUUUAAGUAGGGUAGGUUUGUAACAUCCGCAGAAAUCACCAACUAAAAUCACCCGUUAAAAUUGCCUUUAAAAUCUUUUUACCGCUAAGCUCCCGGAAAUCGGAAAUCUCCCCGGCGAUUUCGCUGUCCCGGCACCCAUGCCGACCCCCACCUAUCUUUGUAUCUGUGCCGUAAAUCUCGCCGCGUGCCGUCGUCAGACCGCCGCGCGCGUGCUUCGACCGCGUGCCGCAUUUGCCGCCGGUCCCUCUCUUUUCCUUUCUCUUUUUCCCUCCCCUUUUUCUUUUCUUUUUCCUCCUUUCGUCCUCCUUCUUCUUCCUUCUUCCUCCUUCCUUCUUCUCUCUCCUUCUCUUCCUUCUUCCUGGCGCC